RNAcentral lists this ribosomal RNA (710 nucleotides) under uncultured Acidovorax sp. RNAcentral's name for it is "bacterial SSU rRNA". It matches the Rfam family "Bacterial small subunit ribosomal RNA", at positions 33 to 750 of the family's 1533-position model. The record is from RNAcentral. Lineage: Bacteria; Pseudomonadati; Pseudomonadota; Betaproteobacteria; Burkholderiales; Comamonadaceae.
ACGCUGGCGGCAUGCCUUACACAUGCAAGUCGAACGGUAACAGGUCUUCGGAUGCUGACGAGUGGCGAACGGGUGAGUAAUACAUCGGAACGUGCCCGAUCGUGGGGGAUAACGGAGCGAAAGCUUUGCUAAUACCGCAUACGAUCUACGGAUGAAAGCAGGGGACCGCAAGGCCUUGCGCGGACGGAGCGGCCGAUGGCAGAUUAGGUAGUUGGUGGGAUAAAAGCUUACCAAGCCGACGAUCUGUAGCUGGUCUGAGAGGACGACCAGCCACACUGGGACUGAGACACGGCCCAGACUCCUACGGGAGGCAGCAGUGGGGAAUUUUGGACAAUGGGCGAAAGCCUGAUCCAGCCAUGCCGCGUGCAGGAUGAAGGCCUUCGGGUUGUAAACUGCUUUUGUACGGAACGUUCUAAUAAAGGGGGUCCAUGACGGUACCGUAAGAAUAAGCACCGGCUAACUACGUGCCAGCAGCCGCGGUAAUACGUAGGGUGCAAGCGUUAAUCGGAAUUACUGGGCGUAAAGCGUGCGCAGGCGGUUAUAUAAGACAGAUGUGAAAUCCCCGGGCUCAACCUGGGAACUGCAUUUGUGACUGUAUAGCUAGAGUACGGUAGAGGGGGAUGGAAUUCCGCGUGUAGCAGUGAAAUGCGUAGAUAUGCGGAGGAACACCGAUGGCGAAGGCAAUCCCCUGGACCUGUACUGACGCUCAU